RNAcentral lists this ribosomal RNA (253 nucleotides) under uncultured bacterium. RNAcentral describes it as "partial 16S ribosomal RNA". It matches the Rfam family "Bacterial small subunit ribosomal RNA", at positions 524 to 776 of the family's 1533-position model. The record is from RNAcentral.
UACGGAGGAUGCAAGCGUUAUCCGGAAUUAUUGGGCGUAAAGCGCACGUAGGCGGCUUUGUAAGUUAGAGGUGAAAGCCCGGGGCUCAACUCCGGAACUGCCUUUAAGACUGCAUCGCUUGAAUCCAGGAGAGGUGAGUGGAAUUCCGAGUGUAGAGGUGAAAUUCGUAGAUAUUCGGAAGAACACCAGUGGCGAAGGCGGCUCACUGGACUGGUAUUGACGCUGAGGUGCGAAAGCGUGGGGAGCAAACAGG